Molecule: ribosomal RNA, 440 nt
Filed under: uncultured bacterium
Lineage: Bacteria
Description: partial 16S ribosomal RNA
Rfam family: Bacterial small subunit ribosomal RNA
Source: RNAcentral
CCUACGGGAGGCAGUAGUGGGGGAUAUUGCACAAUGGGGGAAACCCUGAUGCAGCGACGCCGCGUGAGUGAAGAAGUAUUUCGGUAUGUAAAGCUCUAUCAGUAGGGAAGAAAAUGACAGUACCUGACCAAGAAGCCCCGGCCAACUCCGUGCCAGCAGCCGCGGUAAUACGGAGGGGGCAAGCGUUAUCCGGAUUUACUGGGUGUAAAGGGAGCGUAGUCGGUUAUGUAAGUCUGGAGUGAAAACCCGGGGCCCAACCCCGGGACUGCUUUGGAAACUGUGUAACUGGAGUACAGGAGAGGCAGGCGGAAUUCGUGGUGUAGCGGUGAAAUGCGUAGAUAUCAGGAAGAACACCGACGGCGAAGGCAGCCUGCUGGACUGAAACUGACGUUGAGGCUCGAAAGCGUGGGGAGCGAACAGGAUUAGAUACCCCUGUAGUC